RNAcentral lists this ribosomal RNA (549 nucleotides) under uncultured bacterium. Its description in RNAcentral is "bacterial SSU rRNA". It matches the Rfam family "Bacterial small subunit ribosomal RNA", at positions 355 to 896 of the family's 1533-position model. The record is from RNAcentral.
UGGGGAAUUUUGGACAAUGGGCGCAAGCCUGAUCCAGCCAUGCCGCGUGUCUGAAGAAGGCCUUCGGGUUGUAAAGGACUUUUGUCAGGGAAGAAAAGGCUGUUGCUAAUACCGACAGCUGAUGACGGUACCUGAAGAAUAAGCACCGGCUAACUACGUGCCAGCAGCCGCGGUAAUACGUAGGGUGCGAGCGUUAAUCGGAAUUACUGGGCGUAAAGCGAGCGCAGACGGUUACUUAAGCAGGAUGUGAAAUCCCCGGGCUCAACCUGGGAACUGCGUUCUGAACCGGGUGACUAGAGUGUGUCAGAGGGAGGUAGAAUUCCACGUGUAGCAGUGAAAUGCGUAGAGAUGUGGAGGAAUACCGAUGGCGAAGGCAGCCUCCUGGGAUAACACUGACGUUCAUGCUCGAAAGCGUGGGUAGCAAACAGGAUUAGAUACCCUGGUAGUCCACGCCCUAAACGAUGUCAAUUAGCUGUUGGGCAACUUGAUUGCUUAGUAGCGUAGCUAACGCGUGAAAUUGACCGCCUGGGGAGUACGGUCGCAAGAUUA